Long non-coding RNA from Sinocyclocheilus rhinocerous, 498 nucleotides. RefSeq lists it as uncharacterized. The record is from RefSeq and is a predicted model, not a curated record. NCBI's taxonomy places the organism in Eukaryota, Metazoa, Chordata, Actinopteri, Cypriniformes, Cyprinidae. The transcript is spliced from 4 exons.
AUUUUGAUGGCUGGAGUGAGGAGUAUGAUUUUUGGCUAGAUGCUGAUAGCCCAGAUCUGCACCCAGUAGGCUGGUGUCAGAAGACAGGUCAUCCUCUACAACACCCCAACGGUCCCAGAGAUUCUCCAGUGCCUCCAGGACAAGGCUGCCCAACCCCAGGAUGCAACGGAGUCGGACAUAUUAGAGGACCUCGGUAUGGGACACAUUACACGGCGGUGAGCUGUCCAUACUCGGAUGUGAAUUUGAAUAAGGACGGGCUGGUGCCGGACAGACUGAACGGGGAGAGGCCGGUCACGCUCAGUGGACCUCCGCGGCACCGCCGUGCUGAAACGCUCACUCAGACGCACCCUCCCACACCCAGCGCCAGCACCCCUGAAGCCCCUGACACCACCACAGACGCCUGUCCACCAGCUCGCUCAGUGCGUGAGCACGUUGUGUCUGGCAGCGCUCCCAAAUGUGUCAAGCCACCUCAAGUGAAGCAGGAAGGUGACGGGAAAG